Long non-coding RNA from Juglans microcarpa x Juglans regia, 313 nucleotides. RefSeq lists it as uncharacterized. The transcript is spliced from 3 exons. NCBI's taxonomy places the organism in Eukaryota, Viridiplantae, Streptophyta, Magnoliopsida, Fagales, Juglandaceae. The record is from RefSeq and is a predicted model, not a curated record.
AAACAAUAUUGUAAAAAAUCUGAAACGUAUAUUAAGACGUUGUAUUUUUAGAAUUUUAUUUCUACAUGUAUAUUGCAAAUUAUCGAGAUCUAAUUUUAUAUAUACUUAUGUUUUUUAUGAUUUUUGAAUCUCAAUGUGUCACACACUAGAAAAUUUGGGCCCCCCUCGGAAAAAUUGCUGGUUCUGCCGCUGUCUUGCAUAUACUACAAAGAAUAAUGAUAUUAAUAUAACAAUUCUACAACCUAUAAAUGUGACAGCCACUUCAUAAAAAAUACCAAAGUUUUUGUAAUUUUGAAUUUUACACAAAUGUCCU